AUUGAACGCUGGCGGCAGGCCUAACACAUGCAAGUCGAACGAGUGGCGGACGGGUGAGUAAGAUCUGGGAAACUGCCAGAUGGAGGGGGAUAACUACUGGAAACGGUAGCUAAUACCGCAUACCAUCAGAUGUGCCCAGAUGGGAUUAGCUUGUUGGUGGGGUAACGGCUAACAAAGGCGACGAUCCCUAGCUGGUCUGAGAGGAUGACCAGCCAAACGGGAAUGGAGACACGGCCAAGACUCCUACGGGGGGCAGCAGUGGGGAAUAUUGGACAAUGGGCGCAAGCCUGAGGCAGCCAUGCCGCGUGUAGGAAGAAGGCCUUCGGGUUGUAAAGUACUUUCAGCGGGGAGGCGUUACCUGCAGAAGAAGCACCGGCUAACUCCGUGCCAGCAGCCGCGGUAAUUC
RNAcentral lists this ribosomal RNA (406 nucleotides) under uncultured bacterium. Its description in RNAcentral is "partial 16S ribosomal RNA". It matches the Rfam family "Bacterial small subunit ribosomal RNA", at positions 29 to 526 of the family's 1533-position model. The record is from RNAcentral.